AAACAUUCAAGGCCGUUGAUAAC
Molecule: small nuclear RNA, 23 nt
Filed under: Arabidopsis thaliana (thale cress)
Lineage: Eukaryota; Viridiplantae; Streptophyta; Magnoliopsida; Brassicales; Brassicaceae
Description: snRNA_19123
Source: RNAcentral